This 274-nucleotide ribosomal RNA is filed under the name Escherichia coli. Its description in RNAcentral is "partial 16S ribosomal RNA". The stretch from base 1 to 220 matches the Rfam family "Bacterial small subunit ribosomal RNA", at positions 1314 to 1533 of the family's 1533-position model. Lineage: Bacteria; Pseudomonadati; Pseudomonadota; Gammaproteobacteria; Enterobacterales; Enterobacteriaceae. The record is from RNAcentral.
GACUCCAUGAAGUCGGAAUCGCUAGUAAUCGUGGAUCAGAAUGCCACGGUGAAUACGUUCCCGGGCCUUGUACACACCGCCCGUCACACCAUGGGAGUGGGUUGCAAAAGAAGUAGGUAGCUUAACCUUCGGGAGGGCGCUUACCACUUUGUGAUUCAUGACUGGGGUGAAGUCGUAACAAGGUAACCGUAGGGGAACCUGCGGUUGGAUCACCUCCUUACCUUAAAGAAGCGUACUUUGUAGUGCUCACACAGAUUGUCUGAUGAAAAUGAGC